GCACUGCUGACGAGUCCUUAACAGGACGAAACAGCUGUCCAAUGC
This is a non-coding RNA of Echinostoma caproni, 45 nucleotides long. The record is from Rfam. Lineage: Eukaryota; Metazoa; Platyhelminthes; Trematoda; Plagiorchiida; Echinostomatidae.